UGCGUAGGCGGGCUAAUAAGUCAGUGGUGAAAUCUCUCGGCUCAACCGGGAAACUGCCAUUGAUACUGUUAGUCUUGAGUUCGGUUGAGGUAGGCGGAAUGUGUAAUGUAGCGGUGAAAUGCUUAGAUAUUACACAGAACACCAAUUGCGUAGGCAGCUUACUAGCCCGACACUGACGCUGAGGCACGAAAGCGUGGGGAGCGAACAGGAUUAGAUACCCUGGUAGUCC
This 229-nucleotide ribosomal RNA is filed under the name uncultured bacterium. Its description in RNAcentral is "partial 16S ribosomal RNA". It matches the Rfam family "Bacterial small subunit ribosomal RNA", at positions 568 to 796 of the family's 1533-position model. The record is from RNAcentral.